This 443-nucleotide ribosomal RNA is filed under the name Pichia kudriavzevii. Its description in RNAcentral is "eukaryotic LSU rRNA". It matches the Rfam family "Eukaryotic large subunit ribosomal RNA", at positions 129 to 635 of the family's 3401-position model. Lineage: Eukaryota; Fungi; Ascomycota; Pichiomycetes; Pichiales; Pichiaceae. The record is from RNAcentral.
CUUUGCGGCACGAGUUGUAGAUUGCAGGUUGGAGUCUGUGUGGAAGGCGGUGUCCAAGUCCCUUGGAACAGGGCGCCCAGGAGGGUGAGAGCCCCGUGGGAUGCCGGCGGAAGCAGUGAGGCCCUUCUGACGAGUCGAGUUGUUUGGGAAUGCAGCUCCAAGCGGGUGGUAAAUUCCAUCUAAGGCUAAAUACUGGCGAGAGACCGAUAGCGAACAAGUACUGUGAAGGAAAGAUGAAAAGCACUUUGAAAAGAGAGUGAAACAGCACGUGAAAUUGUUGAAAGGGAAGGGUAUUGCGCCCGACAUGGGGAUUGCGCACCGCUGCCUCUCGUGGGCGGCGCUCUGGGCUUUCCCUGGGCCAGCAUCGGUUCUUGCUGCAGGAGAAGGGGUUCUGGAACGUGGCUCUUCGGAGUGUUAUAGCCAGGGCCAGAUGCUGCGUGCGG